CACCGCCCGUCACACCAUGGGAGUGGGUUGCACCAGAAGCAGGUAGUCAAACCUUCGGGAGGACGCUUGCCACGGUGUGAUUCAUGACUGGGGGUG
Molecule: ribosomal RNA, 96 nt
Filed under: uncultured bacterium
Lineage: Bacteria
Description: partial 16S ribosomal RNA
Rfam family: Bacterial small subunit ribosomal RNA
Source: RNAcentral